UACGUAGGGUGCAAGCGUUGUCCGGAAUUAUUGGGCGUAAAGAGCUCGUAGGCGGUUCGUCGCGUCGGCUGUGAAAUCCCGGAGCUCAACUCCGGGUCUGCAGUCGAUACGGGCGGACUUGAGUUCGGCAGGGGAGACUGGAAUUCCUGGUGUAGCGGUGAAAUGCGCAGAUAUCAGGAGGAACACCGGUGGCGAGGGCGGGUCUCUGGGCCGAUACUGACGCUGAGGAGCGAAAGCGUGGGGAGCGAACAGG
RNAcentral lists this ribosomal RNA (253 nucleotides) under uncultured bacterium. Its description in RNAcentral is "partial 16S ribosomal RNA". It matches the Rfam family "Bacterial small subunit ribosomal RNA", at positions 524 to 776 of the family's 1533-position model. The record is from RNAcentral.